GCAUGUAAUCAUAAGCAGAACUUAUAUGAUAAAAAUAUGUGAAAGAUAAACUAAAAAUUCAAGGAAAAUUUAUAAUACAAACUGUGUCAAUAAAAUAUGAAAAUACAAUACUCAACUUCCAUCUACGAAGCCUUUUACUGCCCACUAGCUGCCGACGGAAUCCCAGCGCCGCCAUCCAUCACUGCUCCAGCUUCCUCCAUUAAGCCGCCGCUAGCCGUCGCUGCUCCAGCUGGCAGCCAUCUCCACCAAUGUCGGUAGCCAUCUCCACCAACGCCGGCAGCACCACCAGCCGGUAAAACUACCAUUCACCAGCCAGCCGACAGCCUCCAUUUAGAGGUAAACUCCGUUAACUUCGUUAAGAUUAACAUACAAACUGUCGAGAUAUCGAGCUAGUGCUAGUGCGGGGAGGGGGGCAAUGUAGUUGUUCUACUAUGUUGUGUUUGGUGCUAUGGUUGUUGUGGUAGCAGUUUUUGAGCUGGGUGGCAAGACUAACAAAGAUCGGACAACAACUUCACAGGCUUUUAAUUCCUUUAAGAACAAUUACAUUCUUGUUUACUCUCUUAUGAUGGGUACGUAUGUUUCUCCUAUUAGAUCUGGGUCUUUUUACAUUUUGAAAUUCUGGUAUGUAUGUGCUCGAUAUGAUUAUUUGAGUGUGGAAUUUUGGAUCUGAUUAAUUGGACAUUAUAAGUUUGUUCUGCAUUAGUUGUCAGGUUGUGGUAUAAAUGAAAUCUAGCUUCGAAUCCUAACUCAUUUUAUGUUAUCUGGAUGUUGAAAAAGCUUCCAAGUGUUGAUAUGCAGCUCAAUUUGCUUAAUGGUCUUUAGAUCUAUUUGUACAUCACUGUGUGAAAAUACACUGGGUUUGUUGUUGUUGUUUUUGUUGUUGUAUUUCAUUAAGAGUUCUCCAAUACUAUCUGUAUUCCUUGUGCUGUAUCUUUCUAAAUUAUGGCAUCAAGACCAAAAUUUAGUUUCUUUACUUUUCUAAAAGAAAAGGUUGAUCUUGCUUAAAGGUUUUAGAAUAUCUAUACCUUGAGUAUACAUAAACUUGUACAAUGUGCUCAAAGUUCAGUCAUAUUGUAGACAUGUAGUAACUUGAAAAUGGAGUUGUGUAUCUUUUAAUUUGCUAAGCUCAUUAUUUUCGAAGAUGAUGUUGUUGGUUAUUUUUGUUUAGAAGGUGAUAUUGUUGGUUACUUUAUUUGUUGAAAAUGCUUAAGUGCCGAUGACUUUAAUAGUGAAUUAGUGUUUAGAAGGUGAUGUUGUUGGUGACUUUAUUUGUUGAAAAUGCUUAAGUGCCGAUGACUUUAAUAGUGAACUUUUGUUUAGAAGGUGAUGUUGUUGGUUACUUUAUUUGUUGAAAAUGGUUAAGUGCCGGUGACUUUAAAAGUGAACUUUUGUUUAGAAGGUGAUGUUGUUGGUUACUUUAUUUGUUGAAAAUGCUUAAGUGCUGGUGACUUUAAUAGUGAAUUAGUGUUUAGAAGGCGAUGUUGUUGGUGACUUUAUUUGUUAAAAAUGCUUAAGUUUUGGUGACUUUAAUAGUGAAUUAGUGUUUAGGAGGUGAUGUUGUUGGUGACUUUAUUUGUUGAAAAUGCUUUAGUGCCGGUGACUUUAUUUGUUGGUGACUGCUGUAUAUUAUUGUUGUGGUUGCAUGCAGUAUUUGGAUUUUCAAUUUUUCUUUUUAAAUUUCCAGAAAUAUAUUUUAUUUUAUUUGCAAAAAACCGACCACAAGUGGUCAGUUUUUCUAAUUUUUUUUUUUGUAAAAAACCGAUCACAAGUGGUCGGUUUUUUCUAUAUUUUUUUUGCAAAAAACCGACCACUCUUAUAAAAUUAAUUUAUUAGUUUAACUGAAAACCUACCACAUGUGGUCAUUUUUUAUUAAAUUAAUAAAAUUAAUUUUAUAAAAAAUCGACCACACGUGGUCGGUUUAUUUUUUCUAAAAUUAUUUUUUCAUUUAAAUAAAAUAAUAAUAAAUUUAAAAAUAAUUAAAUAUAUAUAUAUAUUUAAAAAAACCGACCACUCGUGGUGGAUUUUUAAAAAGCUACCGCUACUUUUCCGACUAAAAAUUUUGGUCGAUUUUGUGGUCGGAAAAUGGGGAAAACCGACCACUUGUAGUCGAUUUUUGUGGUCGAUUUUCCUUUUUUUUUUAGUAGUAAGUUCAUAUAUGUACACUAGAACCAAGCAUAGCUUAAGCUAACAACAUUCUAAAAUUCUCUGUGAUCAUAUUCAUAUCUUGUUUCACUUGCACCAUAGACACCCUAAAUAUGUACUUUAACACAAAGGUGCUCACUAUUAACAACUCAUUAAGAACACAAAGAAGUCCUCAAAACUAGGAUAAAAGUGCAUAGAUAAUGACUUAGGAGUAUAAAUACAUCUAUGAUCAGCAAGGAAUAAGAGGAAAAUGCCAAUCCGGCAAAGGCGUGGUCUUACUCACGAUUUACAGAAAAAAGAUAACGGUCGUCAGUUAUGUAUAAGCUAACGCGUGAAUGAAGCUACGACUUGAAAGGCGCAAGCCUUACCACGCAUUAGUGCAUAACCAAUUAGGAUAAAUUUGACAGGAUACAGAAACUUGAAUGUCACAGCAAAAAUGCUUUACCUUAAAAUAAAUACUCCAUGGUUAUCCACUUCCAUUUUCUUUUUAAGUUAGAAACAAAAAGGAGAAGAGGAGCAUUUUAACAAUCACGUAUUUUACAAAUAAUUGUAGCAAUUAAUUUGAAUAUCAGAUACACUCACCGUAGCUUUACUUUUAAUUACCUCUCUCCUUAUUAAUUCCACAACUUCCGAAUAGUUGUUUGUGGAAAUGUCAAGGGACCUCACUGAUUUUCAAUGAUAUGCAUGAAGUUUGACAGCAUUUUCUUGAAUUUCUUCCCGAGCAUAGGAAUGAGAUGAAAUACUCUAAACUGAAAGAAGAUUUUAUCAAAAAUAAUGAGAAUGAUAAAUGAACAAAGUUGUGUAGGAAAAGCAGUAUGUGGUACUUUGUUUAUUUAUCAUUAUUUUUUAUGACAUCUUCUUUCAGUUUAGAAUAUUUGACCUCGUUCCUAAGCACUCGGAGAAAAGUUCUUUAAGAAAAUGUUGUCAAACUUCAUGCAUAUUAUCCAAAAGCAGUGAGGUCCCUUGGCAUUUCCACAAAACAACUAUUCGUAAGUUGUGGAAUUAAAAUGGAGAGGGCAAUUAAAAGUAAAGCUAUGGUGGGUGUAUCUGAUAUUCAAAUUAAUUGCUACAAUUAUUUGUAAAAUACAAGAUUUUUUUUAAUUCUACACUUCUCCUUUUUGUUUCCAACUUAAAACGAAAUGGAAGCUGAUAUACAUGGAGUAUUUAUUUUCUGGUAGAGCAUCUUUGUUGUGACUUUCAAGUUCUGUAUUCUGUCAAACCUAUCCUCUUUUGUUAGCACUAAGGCAUGGGACUGCUUGUGCCUUGCAAGGCAUGGCUUCCUUCACGCUUUAGCUUUAUACAUAACUUUCAUUUGCUAGGCGUGAGGAAGGCCACGCCUUUGAGUGUUUGAAAUUUUCCCAUUCUUCCUUAACCUUUUUGAACUUUAAAUGAAAAAAAUUGUUCGUCCGGCUACCGAUUUCUCUAAAAGGCAGUAAGAUAAGGUCUAGCACUCCUUACUUGUACUUUUUCACAUUGAGGAUUUUAUUAUUAAUAAAAGACCGCUUGACAUUCAGUAUAGUGGUAUUUAAUUAAAAAAAAUUCUAAAAAAGGCAUCCGCUUAAUUUCUCAUAUUUGUUCCUUUAAUUUUAUACACAUAAUAACAAAGCACCAAGGCAAAAAAAAAAAAAAAAAAAAAAGGAAAAAAAAAAAAAAAAAAAAAAAAAAGAGGAAAUACAAACAUCAAAAGAAUUCAAUCAAUAUGGUAAAAGAAUUUUUAUGUAUCAAAUCAAUCAAAAACUUCAUAGAUUAUAGUAUUUUAUAUUUAUGAUGAAAUAUGUAUCUAUGGUUGUAUCAUGUGUUUGUGCGCGCGCCCAAAACUAGGAAUUAAGGUCUUGGUUAGGAUAGAGCAAAUUCUAGAUUGAGAAAGAAACUUCUUGUUUUUAGUCCCUGAAAUAUUGAUAAGUUUUUGUUUUGGUUCGUGUAAUAUCUAUCUAUUUAUAUCUAUAUCUAUAUCUAUAUCUAUAUAUUAUAAAUAGUAAGAAAGUCUUGCAUAGAUAGAUGUCAAGUGGCUAAAUAGGAUAAUGCCAUGUGGUACCUUUUAGGACAAAUUAGUUAGACUAGGUAAAAUUAAUUAUUUUUUUUUUAAUGUAAAUUAAAAGUAAUAAAUAUUUUCUAUUUCAAAUAAAAAAAAUUGGGAAGUUACAACAUAAGAAAAAACAUGCACAUAUUAUUUAAUAUAUUUAUAAAGAACAUUUUAAAUUAUUAGAAGUUAACAGAUUUUUAUAUCUACUAUUAAACAUUAAAAUAUUUUUUAUUGAAUUAACAUAUUUGAAUUUAAUUUAUAUCUUAACGUAUUUAAGAGACUUAUAUCUUCAUAUUUAAUUUAUAUCUUAAAUUUUUGUAAUCCUAUAAUUUUUCACUUUGAACUGCGUUAAGAAAAGGUAAAAAGGAAGGGGUAGUGUGUUUUUUCUUUUUCUGUUUGCAAUAUUAAUAAAUCAAAUAUAUUUUAUUUUAAAAAAUAAAGAAAAUACAAAAAAAAAAGAUAAAACCUAACAAAACCCCCUAAUGCACGCCACAAUUCCCGUCCCCAUUUUUCGGGCACGUAUCCCACGCAACCACUUAAUAUUUUUUAUUUUUAAUUUUUAAAAGUAAAAAGAUAAAACAAUUAAUAGAUCAAAAUUAAAUUUAACUAAUCUAAAUAUUAUUAUCAAACAAAAUAUAAAUAUCCCACAUUCAUAAUUUUCAAUGAACAAGAAGUGGCUACAAAUUAGUAUUUGAAAUUUGAAAUGAGUAGUUGUUAUGUGUAAAAUAACUAUUUAAAUUUAUUCAUUUACUAAUGAUUUAAAAAAAUAUAUAAAAAAAAAAUAUUAAAAAAAAUAAAAAAUUGAUAACUCUUAACUUAAACACUAACAGUCCAUACAUCCUAAUCCCCACAACCUCAAUUCACUAGCACUUAUUUUUGUUCUCCAAUUUUCCUGCACACUAAAAAUACUAUACAUAAUUCAAAUAAAUGUAUUAUCAUGUUGAUAUUUGAUAAAAGUAAAGUAUGUGCAUUAUCUUUUGCAUUCUUAUUUUAAUUUGAAGUUGAAAAGAAGCACUUUAACAAUUAAAUGAACGAAAAAAUGAUCGAUGUAACUGAUGAUAUACCACAACACCCUAUUAAUUCUAUAUCAAUAUGGUAUAGUCAUUUAAAUUUCAAAUUGGUGUCCUAUUAUUUUGUAUUGUCUCUUCAAAGGAUAAUUUAUUUAUACUUUUAGAAAAAUGAAUUUCCAUCACAAAUACAGAUUUAAAAAAUUUAAAACUAAAUUUUAAUAAGCGAGACUCUUUUUUUUUUUUUUUACCUUUGUUUUGGAUAACUAUUUCUACUUUUUUUAUUUUUAUAAAUUCUUAAAAAAAAAAAAAAAUAAAAUAACUAUCAUUGUGAUUUUAAAUUUUAAAUCAAUUAAAUUUUAAAUUCAAAUUCAAAACUAGAAAUGUAAUGUUUAUGAAAGCAAUUCAAAUUAUAUAUCACUUUCUAUAACAUAAAUUCAUUUUGAAAUUAAAAUGUUUAGAUAAAUUUAUUUGUCCGUUUGAAAUUGAACUAAGAGAUAAACAUUUUUUUAAAAACAAAAUUAAUUAAAUAAAAUAAAUUGAUAUUUGAUUUAUAAAAACAUUGAAAUAAGAACUUCUAAAAAAUUGAAAUGCCUACAUUUGAAAUUCAAGUGUUUUUUUUUUUUAAAAAAAAAAAGGUAACUAAACUGCCCCAUUACUCCACUAACUCCACUUCAAGCACCCCUCCCACCUCCCCACGUCUCUUUAUUUGUCAAUUUACUUUCACACACUUGCAUUGAAAAAUUUCAAUAUAAACUUAUAACAUAAAUUUCGCCGAAAAUUUUCAACACAAAUUAUUUUGAAACAUAAAAUUCAAAAGAAAAAAUUGUCAUUUCAAAUUUCGAAUUUUAAAAUCUAAAAUUUGUACAUAAAUGCAGUCAUAAUUAAAUCGUUUAAUUUAUCAUAUUUUUCUUCUUGAACAUCAAUCAAUAAUUCAUUUUCUAAAAAGGAAUCUCUUUGCAAACUUCAUUUGACAAAGUACUCUUAUGAAGAAUUAUUUGACAAAUAAAUCUCUAUUCUUCAUUUGAUAUAAUUAUUUGAGUUUUUGGGAAGAAUCAGUGGCAAAGUACUCUUAGGAAGGAAUAUUGAUAUAUUAUUCCUUUUUACAUUUUUUUUUCAUAAUCAUCUCGAUCUUUUUUACUGUCUCUAUUAUUUGUACUCAUAUCUAUAUUUACUUUUCUCAUUUAGUGCCUUCAGUUCAUUGCGGGAGUCAAUAUUCAUAAAAUACAACUACUAUCUUAUUUGGAAUAAUAUGAGAACUCUAAUUCUUAUUGACUUAUUAUUUUGAUUAGGUAAAAUGACCUUCUGGACCCUUGUACUAUAUCGGUUUAGUAAGUUGGACACUUCUACUUACAUGUUUGUCAUCUAGACCCCUAAACCCACUAAAAAACUAUUUUUAAAUUCUUUGAACGUUGACUUUGUCUACGUGGCAUUAAAUGGCUGACUAGGAUAAGGAAAGUGUAGUCACUCGCCUGGGGUAUGAGUGGGGGUCAAUUUUGACCUAUUUUAUAUUAAAAUAAUUUUAAAAAAAUUAAAAAUAAUAUUAAAACUAAAAAAAUAAUUAAAAAGAUCUUUUUUUCCUCCAUAUUUUUUAACUUAAAAAUAUUUUUAAAAAUAAUAAAUUUAAAAAAAAAAAAAAAAAAAAACCCUCCCCCAACACCCCCCCCCUCCCACNNNNNNNNNNNNNNNNNNNNNNNNNNNNNNNNNNNNNNNNNNNNNNNNNNNNNNNNNNNNNNNUCUUCCCUAAGCCCUUCGCCUCCAUCCCAACCCCCAACCCUUCUCCCCCGCCGCCCCACCAGUUCCCAAGCAAAGAAACCUCCAUUCACAAAGACACCGAUUCACAAAAUUUAUUCAAAUCAAGAAUUUUCUACAUUCUUGAAUUAUCCAAAUCACAAAAAUUUCAAAAAAAAAAAAGCGCAAAAAUUGUAUUUUUAUAUUGAAUUUCAAGUUUCUCGAAUUACCCAAAUACAAAAAAUUCAAAGAAAGCAUUAAAAUUGAGUCUUGACAUUGAAUUUCAGGUUUCUUAAAUUACCCAAAUCACAAAAAUCUCUAAAAAUUUCUUCUUUUCAUACUUCUUAAAUUUUUUGGCCCUCACUUUUCAAUUUUUCCGUAGAGCAAGAAGAAUAGGAAGAUGAAGAUGACAAAAGCAAAAGAAGAAUGAGAAGACAAGGAAGAAGAUUAAGAAAAAGAAAGAAGAAGAAGAAAUAGAGAGAAAGAACCAGAAAAGGAAAGAAAAAGGGGAAAAGAGAUAAAAAGGGGUAGGGGUUGUUUUAUUUGUUUAUUUAUUUAUUUAUUUAUUACAUAUAAAAAUGACGUGGCAGAUAACGUGGCACACGUGACAGUUGAUAUGGCAGCUGGCGUGGGAGAGUGUAUUACACUCACCAAAAAAGUAUUUAAAAUAUUACUUUUUAGUGGGUUCAGGGGUCCAGAUAACAAACAUGUAAGUAGAAGUAUCCAACUUACAAAACCGAUAUAAUACAAGGGUCCAGAAGAUCAUUUUACCUUUUGAUUAUUAUAUAGGACUAUUUGGAUUUGGUGUUGCUUAUAAAUAUAUUUUAGCUUUACUUUAGCCUAUUAAUGUCCUCGAUAUUUUGGAUUUAUUCACUGAUGUAUUUACAGUAGAAAGUGUUAAUGUAUAUUAGUUUCUAUCAUCUAUAAAGAUUAAAAAGAUUUAUUACUUUAUAUCUUAAUAUUAAAACUAUAUAAUUAUUAGGUGAAGUUUUAGAUUGUUAAUUUUAGCAUGAUUUGGGGAUUGAGGGUCUAUUCACAGAGAGAGUCCUGCAUAAACUUUUGUGCAAUAAAAUUUAUAGUUUGAGAUUAAGUGUAAUAAAAUUUAUAGCUUUCUUUAUUUUAUAAUUCGUAAUAUGUUGAAAAACUUAAACCUAAUAUUAGAUAGAGAAAUACUAUUUUACAUAUUUCAUUCAAAUAAUUAAUUAAGAUCCUUUUUGAGUUGUGUUAAAGUUCUCUUUUACAAUUUUUCCUUAUAUUUGUUGGAUGACAUUUUUUUUUCUUAUAGUUUUCUUUGUUCUAUAAUCCAACUUCUUUUUUAGAAUUAAUCAAAGAUCACCCGAUAAUUUUGAACUUUUCAAAGGAGGUUACGGUCAUAAAAAAAUCAGAGAAGAUAAUAAAUAUACUAUUACAAACACAAAAAUAAUUACUGUUAUGGAAGAAAAAUUGAAAAGUAUUCUAUUUUAAAUCAUCUCAAUUAUAAAUGAGAAUAGUAAGGAAAUUAAAGUGAGCUAACAAUACAAGGUGGAAUAACAAUUUUUGAUAAUUUGUUUUUGGUAGAUAAAUUUUAUUAAUAGUCAAAGAGAAAUAUUAUAAUUUUUGGUAAUAUUAAUAACAAUAUUAGAAAAUUAGGUGAGGUUAUUCUUAGAAUUCUAAUUAAAAGGUAAAAAAUAAAAAUUACGUAUGAUUUUAUUAGGAAUCUGAUCUGAAAUAUUAUUUUAAAUUUGAAUUAAAAGAUAACAUUAUGUUUCCACUUCUUAACAGAUUAAAAAAUUAAAUACAUAACUCAACUAAUUAACAAUUAUUUAUUAACAUCAUAAUUUAUUUAAAAUAUGUCAAUAGCAUAUAACGAGGAUAUUUCAUUUUCAUAUCUAAACGUUUAAAGUUAUUGCAACUGCGAUAUGAUCCUAAAGGGUUGUUUGGUAGAAGAAAUAAGAAGAAUAAUUUUGGGAUUAACUUUAUCCCAUAUUUGGUAUAAGAUAUUUCUUAAUUCUAGAAUAAUUUUGUCCCACCAUUUAUACUAAAAUGGUGAUAUUACUAUCCAAUAGGGAGAAGAAAUAAAAUAAUCCCAUGGGAUAUCCCACCUCAUCGGAUAUACUUAGUUACCCCAUCCAUAUACCAAACGAUCCGUAAGUGUUUAUUAAACUUUUAAUAUUAUAUUAAAGUAUAUAUCAUUGAUGAUGUUGAAUUUAAUAAUAUUGAUAGUCAUAUUUCUUACUUCACAAAUUUAUUGAUUUUACAUACAUCAAUUUGAUGAAAAAAAUUAUAUCAAAUAAAUAAAAUUAAAAAAUAUGAUUAAUUUUCUUUAAUAUCGUCCGCGCAUCGCGUGGGAAGGUAUACUAAGGGCAAGCCUAUGGUUCAUUAUGUGUAACUUGUGAAUUAUUUCUAAGAGUGAGCGUAAAUUGAUUCUAAUACCCAUUCUUGUAAUAAUUGCAUCUUUAUGAGUGAGUAUGGGUACCUCUAUUGUGAUGAGGGCACAUGUUAUGAUAGUUGGGUAAUUUGUAUGAUCUCAUUGAUUGUGUAAUAUGCAUGAGUUUGCCAACUUGGUGAGUCAGUUCUUGAGGUUAUGAUGUUUUGAAGUAGCGGUCUUGAGCUUUCAUUUGUGUAUAACAUUCUUAAGAUAAAAACUUGCUAUAUGUGUAGUCAUUAUAGUAUUAUUUUGAAUGUCUUGCCUGUAAUAAAAGUGUGGAGUCUUCUCUAAUUAGUGUGUGUAAUGAAUUACUAAAGGUAUAACUGUGCAAUUAUGUGUGGAAUAACUUGUUUAUAGUUUUUAAGGUUCAAUCAAGCUAAGAGACAAAGUAAUAAGUUAAUAUUUUUGGCUACUGAUUUAAUCUUAAUAACUGAACUAAAACUCUUGGUUACAUUUGCACUAAUUGAAUCUUAAUAGCUGAACUGAAAUUGGAUAGUUGCUUAACACUAGUCCCUUUUAGAUCGAUAUUUGACUUUCUUAAGGCCACUAUAUUACUUGAGUGGACCACGUACACUUGCGUGUGCGUUUGGGCGCAACAGUAUUAAUCAACAUCUAAAUUUAAAUAGCUUUUUUAAAACAACAAGAAAAUUUGAGAUGUGAUUACAAUUGAGAAAUAUCAAUAUGAUAUUCACAAAAAGAGUCAUAGACAUGAUUGAGCAAAUAAAAUUGCAAGGUCAAAUAUAUAGAAAGAAUAUUAUAUCUAUCAUAUGGUGACAAUUAAUUGCGUACAUUAAAAUUUAUUUCAUUUUACAUCACAUCUAUCUAGCUAAAUUUAAUUGUUUAAUUUUGCAAGUCUAUACGGUUCAUGAGAUUUUGCUUUUGACAAUCAAGUCAUUUGUGUAUGCUAACUAUACAUGUAUCAAAUUAAGCUUGUACUUUCUCUCUUUAAAUUUACAAUUAUUCAUUAUUUGCAUGUUUUAAUAUUAUCGUCAUUUUAAAAUAUCUAUACCAUAAAAGUUGGAACACAUAUAAAUCAUGUGUCUAGAAACUAGUAACUAAAGAAAAAGAGGUGAAUGCUUAUUCUAUUCGAUUUUCUACAAAUUUAUUUUUUAAAAGUAAUAUUAGAUCUUCAAUAAACUUAUGAAUAGAGAAGCAAAUCUUCAAUUAAUUUAAGAAAAACAAAGAAAUAAAUCAUAACAAAGUGAAUAGGUCAAGAUUAAUGCGAGGAAUGUAACGGAAGGAUUCAUACCUUUGCAAGCUGAACAAAAAGCAUCAGCUCCUCCGACAAUGAAGAGGAUUUAUCACCCACAACAGAAGAAGACAGAGACCAGAGUUUAGAAGAGAAAAUGAACACAUCCUUAAUGAUGGGGAGAAAGAGAUGGUUAAGAGGAGAGGACAGAGGAGCGCAUUAAGAGACCCUAUCUUUUAG
Molecule: long non-coding RNA, 10739 nt
Filed under: Capsicum annuum
Lineage: Eukaryota; Viridiplantae; Streptophyta; Magnoliopsida; Solanales; Solanaceae
Description: long non-coding RNA (CANN_LNC008714)
Source: RNAcentral